GAGUUUGAUCCUGGCUCAGGAUGAACGCUGGCGGCGUGCCUAAUACAUGCAAGUCGUGCGGGCUUUUAACGAUAUCUGAACUCUAAUUUAUUAGUGUUCAACUGCUUGCGAUUUUUCUUCAUCAAGGCUGAUGAAGUUAAUACGCAAGUUUUAUCAUUAUAUAGUUAGCGGCGGACGGGUGAGUAACGCGUGGGAAUGUACCCCAGACUGAGGGAUAAGCACCAGAAAUGGUGUCUAAUACCGCAUAACCUCUACGGAGAAAAGCUUCGGCGGUUUGGGAACAGCCUGCGUUGGAUUAGCUAGUUGGUAAGGUAAUGGCUUACCAAGGCGACGAUCCAUAGCUGGUCUGAGAGGAUGAUCAGCCACACUGGAACUGAGACACGGUCCAGACUCCUACGGGAGGCAGCAGUAGGGAAUCUUCCACAAUGGACGAAAGUCUGAUGGAGCAACGCCGCGUGCAGGAUGAAGGCCUUCGGGUCGUAAACUGCUUUUAUGGGCGAAGAUUAUGACGGUAACCCAUGAAUAAGGAUCGGCUAAUUCCGUGCCAGCAGCCGCGGUCAUACGGAAGAUCCAAGCGUUAUCCGGAAUUACUGGGCGUAAAGAGAUGCGUAGGUGGCAAUCUAAGCGAAUAAUGAAAUCAUCCGGCUCAACCGGGUGCUGUUAUUCGAACUGGAUCGCUAGAGUACGAGAGAGGAAGUUGGAAUUCCUAGUGUAGGAGUGAAAUCCGUAGAUAUUAGGAGGAACACCAAUGGCGAAGGCAGACUUCUGGCUCGUUACUGACACUGAGGCUCGAAAGCGUGGGGAGCGAACGGGAUUAGAUACCCCGGUAGUCCACGCCGUAAACGAUGGAUGCUAGCUGUUCGAGGUAUCGACCCCUGGAGUAGCGAAGCUAACGCGUUAAGCAUCCCGCCUGGGGAGUACGGUCGCAAGACUAAAACUCAAAGGAAUUGACGGGGACCCGCACAAGCGGUGGAGCGUGUGGUUUAAUUCGAUGAUAAGCGAAGAACCUUACCAAGGUUUGACAUCCUCCGAAGGACUGCGAAAGCAGACUGUGCCUUUUAGGAACGGAGUGACAGGUGAUGCAUGGCCGUCGUCAGCUCGUGUCGUGAGAUGUUGGGUUAAGUCCCGCAACGAGCGCAACCCUUAUGGUUAGUUGGAUUUUUCUAACCAGACUGCCUCGGCAACGGGGAGGAAGGAGGGGAUGAUGUCAGGUCAGUAUUUCCCUUACACCUUGGGCUACACACGCGCUACAAUGGCCGGUACAGAGGGCUGCCAAGUCGCAAGACGGAGCAAAUCCCAUCAAAGCCGGUCUCAGUUCGGAUUGCAGGCUGAAACUCGCCUGCAUGAAGCCGGAAUCGCUAGUAACCGUAGGUCAGCACACUACGGUGAAUACGUUCCCGGGUCUUGUACACACCGCCCGUCAUACCAUGGAAGUCGCCAACACCCGAAGUACAACUUUAAAGGUCCUAAGGUGGGGGAGAUGACUGGGGU
This 1491-nucleotide ribosomal RNA is filed under the name uncultured bacterium. RNAcentral's name for it is "16S ribosomal RNA". It matches the Rfam family "Bacterial small subunit ribosomal RNA". The record is from RNAcentral.